Molecule: small RNA, 145 nt
Filed under: Arabidopsis thaliana (thale cress)
Lineage: Eukaryota; Viridiplantae; Streptophyta; Magnoliopsida; Brassicales; Brassicaceae
Description: ATSL085370
Source: RNAcentral
GUCGGGUAUACCUAUUAUCCUAAAAUCAAGUUCUAGUUACUUACUCUAGAACUAGCAUUAAGAACAAUCAAAGAUAAAGAAUUCUAAAUAUAUUAUCCUAACAGGGUUUUUGAUCUACUAAUUCAUCCAAAUCCCUAGUGAGAAU